AUUGAACGCUGGCGGUAGGCCUAACACAUGCCAGUCGAACGGCAGCACAGUAAGAGCUUGCUCUUACGGGUGGCGAGUGGCGGACGGGUGAGGAAUACAUCGGAAUCUACUUUUUCGUGGGGGAUAACGUAGGGAAACUUACGCUAAUACCGCAUACGACCUACGGGUGAAAGCAGGGGAUCUUCGGACCUUGCGCGAUUGAAUGAGCCGAUGUCGGAGUAGCUAGUUGGCGGGGUAAAGGCCCACCAAGGCGACGAUCCGUAGCUGGUCUGAGAGGAUGAUCAGCCACACUGGAACUGAGACACGGUCCAGACUCCUACGGGAGGCAGCAGUGGGGAAUAUUGGACAAUGGGCGCAAGCCUGAUCCAGCCAUACCGCGUGGGUGAAGAAGGCCUUCGGGUUGUAAAGCCCUUUUGUUGGGAAAGAAAAGCAGCAGGUUAAUACCCCGCUGUUCUGACGGUACCCAAAGAAUAAGCACCGGCUAACUUCGUG
RNAcentral lists this ribosomal RNA (492 nucleotides) under uncultured bacterium. RNAcentral's name for it is "partial 16S ribosomal RNA". It matches the Rfam family "Bacterial small subunit ribosomal RNA", at positions 30 to 507 of the family's 1533-position model. The record is from RNAcentral.